RNAcentral lists this long non-coding RNA (330 nucleotides) under Oryza brachyantha (malo sina). Its description in RNAcentral is "long non-coding RNA (OBRA_LNC001289)". The record is from RNAcentral. Lineage: Eukaryota; Viridiplantae; Streptophyta; Magnoliopsida; Poales; Poaceae.
UUGGCUUUUCUUGCAGUUCCCUCGGCUAUCAUCGCCUCUACUCUCUCCUAUCACAGCUCAGAGAAGACCCAAAUACAACAAGAAGAAAACUAGUCUUCUCCAACUCUCUCCUCGACGCGCUUCCUCUCCGAGGCUCCGCCGCCUACUUGUACUUUGCUCUUCCGCCCCUCGACGGCGGCUCGCCUCCUGCCGCCGCCGCCGCCCCUCCGGACUCUGCCGCCGGCCGCCUUCUGGAACAGCAGAGGUAAAGAAAAAUCCCUUCUUGCGGUGGUUUCUGGGGCAGAUCUGAGAGCGAAAAGGUCUCGCCUUUUUUCUCCGAUGGCUUCUUCC